CAGCACAUAUAUUCUUAAAAAAAAAAAAAUAGAACGACACAGUGAAGAUUAGCAUGGCUCCUGUGCAAGGAUGACGUGCAAAUUUGUGAAGAGUUCCAUAUUAAA
RNAcentral lists this small nuclear RNA (105 nucleotides) under Moschus moschiferus (Siberian musk deer). The record is from RNAcentral. Lineage: Eukaryota; Metazoa; Chordata; Mammalia; Artiodactyla; Moschidae.